GACUACUGGGGUAUCUAAUCCUGUUUGCUCCCCUAGCUUUCGUGCCUCAGUGUCAGGAGUUGUCCAGGGACUCGCCUUCGCCACUGGUGUUCCACUUGAUAUCUACGCAUUUCACUGCUACACCAAGUAUUCCAGUCCCCCCUCCAACCCUCGAGCAAUGUAGUUUCCAAUGCAGUUUCCGAGUUGAGCUCGGAGAUUUCACAUCCGACUUACACCGCCACCUACGCACCCUUUACGCCCAGUAAAUCCGAACAACGCUUGGGACCUCUGUAUUACCGCGGCUGCUGGCACAGAGUUAGCCGUCCCUUCCUCUUUCGCUACUAUCAGGUUAUCAUCUUUUAAAUAAUAACGGUUGAUCGCAAAUGACAGGGGUUUACGGGCCGAAGCCAUUCAUCCCCCACGCGGCGUCGCUCCAUCAGGCUUGCGCCCAUUGUGAAAAAUUCUCGACUGCAGCCCCCCGUAGG
Molecule: ribosomal RNA, 464 nt
Filed under: uncultured Verrucomicrobiota bacterium
Lineage: Bacteria; Pseudomonadati; Verrucomicrobiota
Description: uncultured Verrucomicrobia bacterium partial 16S ribosomal RNA
Source: RNAcentral